CUUCGGUUUGCAGCCGCUAUUCUCUCUCCAGGCCCAACACCGGCCGGUCCACUUCUCCCUCAUAAGGCAGCCAUCUGCAACUAGGGUUCAUAGUAGUUCAUAGUCAGUGACCAACAUGAGUGACCGAAGGUACGGGUACUCGUACCCACACAACCAAGGGUAUUACAACGGACCGCCGGUGAUGGCGCCGCCGCAGUACGCCCCGCCGCCGAGACGGCAGACGGGCUUCCUCGAAGGAUGCCUCGCAGCGCUGUGCUGCUGCUGCUGCCUCGUCGACGAGUGCUGCUGCGACCCAUCCAUCAUACUCGUGAGCUGAUAGAAACGCGCACGUACUGUAGUACAUGUGCGAUUAUGUAGCGUACUGUAGUACAUGUGCGAUUAUAAGUGUCGUGUAUAUGUGUCCUUCCCUCCCGCUGUUGUUUUCAGCUGGACCGGUUCAGCUCUCCAGCGCCAGGACAGGACAGGUGGGUGGUGUGUGAUGUAUGUAUGUAUCUGAUGUGAGUCUACGAAUAAGAUGAGGAAAAAGAGAA
Molecule: long non-coding RNA, 530 nt
Organism: Triticum dicoccoides
Lineage: Eukaryota; Viridiplantae; Streptophyta; Magnoliopsida; Poales; Poaceae
Exons: 3
Source: RefSeq, a predicted model, not a curated record